RNAcentral lists this ribosomal RNA (394 nucleotides) under uncultured bacterium. Its description in RNAcentral is "bacterial SSU rRNA". It matches the Rfam family "Bacterial small subunit ribosomal RNA", at positions 362 to 773 of the family's 1533-position model. The record is from RNAcentral.
UAUUGCACAAUGGGGGAAACCCUGAUGCAGCGAUGCCGCGUGGAGGAAGAAGGUUUUCGGAUUGUAAACUCCUUUUAUCAGGGACGAUAAUGACGGUACCUGAAGAAAAAGCUCCGGCUAACUACGUGCCAGCAGCCGCGGUAAUACGUAGGGAGCGAGCGUUGUCCGGAAUUACUGGGUGUAAAGGGAGCGUAGGCGGGACGGCAAGUCAGAUGUGAAAACUGAGGGCUCAACCUUCAGACUGCAUUUGAAACUGCUGUUCUUGAGUGAAGUAGAGGUAAGCGGAAUUCCUAGUGUAGCGGUGAAAUGCGUAGAUAUUAGGAGGAACACCAGUGGCGAAGGCGGCCUGCUGGACUGUAACUGACGUUGAGGCUCGAAGGCGUGGGGAGCAAAC